RNAcentral lists this unclassified non-coding RNA (202 nucleotides) under Hevea brasiliensis (rubber tree). Lineage: Eukaryota; Viridiplantae; Streptophyta; Magnoliopsida; Malpighiales; Euphorbiaceae. The record is from RNAcentral.
UAGAUGUCAGUAACUAGAGAAUCAUCGCAUCCUAACUCAAGCAAACCGCAUUGACGCUUUCUGCAAUAGGUAAUUAUAGCCUGAGUGACCGCAACAGCAUAGAAAAGAUGAACCAGAGUCAGGAAGGCAUCUUCGCAUGACAACAAUGGACAUGGAAGGCAAUAUAUGAUCCACAUUAACGAAGAAAAAGCAUCAUGUGCAA